GUCUAUGGCCACGCUACCUUGAACAAGCCCAAUCCUGUCUGAUCUCGGAAGCCAAGCAGAGUUGGGCCUGGUUAGUACUUGGAUUGGAGACCACCUAGGAAAACCAGGUGCUGUAGGCG
Molecule: ribosomal RNA, 119 nt
Filed under: Pteropus alecto (black flying fox)
Lineage: Eukaryota; Metazoa; Chordata; Mammalia; Chiroptera; Pteropodidae
Source: RNAcentral